Cryptomeria japonica (Japanese cedar) is the source of this 496-nucleotide long non-coding RNA. RefSeq lists it as uncharacterized. The transcript has 3 exons. The record is from RefSeq and is a predicted model, not a curated record. Lineage: Eukaryota; Viridiplantae; Streptophyta; Pinopsida; Cupressales; Cupressaceae.
CUUUACACUUGGAUCGGGUGCAAAUCCCCGUGACAAAAGUUUUUGGCAUGCCCGGUGGGAUUGUUGAACUUUUCUAAGUUCAUAGAAGGCGACCCUAGCUGCUGCUUUGGUGUGAGCAACAAUGAUUCCAACCUUUAGAGGCAAGUGUUAAUCAUCACACCUAGCGACUUGAGGUUCAAAUCUUCUGGUUUCAAAGAUCAAGUGCUGGUUAUGUCACCCGUGGCUGAGAUUUCUCCUUUGUAAAGGAUAUUCUCGAGGAUGCCUAAUCAGAAAAAGGCAUCUACAAAGUCACACAAUACUUCAAAGAAGCUCAAUUUUAAUGAUCCACCACAAUUAUAGGAUAUUUUAGAGUUAUAAACUAUUAGUUGUGUCCAUUGUAUAUCGAUCUUGAGAUGGCAUUUAUGCCAUAGCUUUGUAAAACUUGUAUUGAUAUAUAACAUAUGUCAUUUUUGUACAUUUUAAUGACUUGGAACAUAUGCUAUUUUGUACAUUUUAU